AAAAAAGUGAAAGUGAACGCGAAGGAAAAUAACAAUUGUAUAAUAGAACAGGAUUAAAAUGCAUAAGCGUCCGUUUCCUCCCACAUCAAGAUGAAAACGUAAAAUCGCUAACUAGGUUGGUGGUAAAACGGUGCCUGAACUGCGAGGAUAUGCCUACGAAGGCAAAACUGUUGAAUGAACAUCGGUACAUAAAAUAUUCUAAAAUCGCAUGUUUUCUUAAAUUAAAUGUUUUCGUUAAUUUGUAAUAAAACAUGUCGAAUAAAAGUAUAUUGGAGGAACAGCUGAAAUUUAUGAGAAAAAAAAACAAAGUAAGCUAAGAGUAUAUUCUUCCAAGAAUGACAAUCGUACCUAGAAAAUAAGAAGA
This is a long non-coding RNA of Armigeres subalbatus, 364 nucleotides long. RefSeq lists it as uncharacterized. The transcript is spliced from 3 exons. Lineage: Eukaryota; Metazoa; Arthropoda; Insecta; Diptera; Culicidae. The record is from RefSeq and is a predicted model, not a curated record.